Molecule: long non-coding RNA, 327 nt
Organism: Mus caroli (Ryukyu mouse)
Lineage: Eukaryota; Metazoa; Chordata; Mammalia; Rodentia; Muridae
Source: RefSeq, a predicted model, not a curated record
CCGAGAUCAGCUGGAUACAUAGAUCUGAGCUUGGGGCAGCCGCAAGCGGCAAGAUGGUUGGAAGAGUAUGGCAAAGUGAGACAAGGACAAAAGAGCCAUCUGGUCUACCUGCCUCACCUACCUUGAACUCCUGCAACAAAAUGAUUUGAGGCAAAGUCUUGGUCUAAUUAAUUGUUAGCAUCUCAUCUCGCUUCUUGAUCACCAGCCUCAGAGAGAAAUGCCUGCCAGGACCUCGUGACCAUGAAUGUGCUACCUUUGAAACAAAUCAAAACCACUAAACCAUUCCAAUGACGAUGAUUGUAACAAUCCACCUGCAACAAUAACUGA